UACGGAGGAUGCGAGCGUUAUCCGGAUUUAUUGGGUUUAAAGGGUGCGUAGACGGACGCUUAAGUCAGCGGUAAAAUUGCGGGGCUCAACCUCGUCGAGCCGUUGAAACUGGGUGCCUUGAGUGGGCGAGAAGUACGCGGAAUGCGUGGUGUAGCGGUGAAAUGCAUAGAUAUCACGCAGAACUCCGAUUGCGAAGGCAGCGUACCGGCGCCCUACUGACGCUGAAGCACGAAGGCGUGGGUAUCGAACAGG
Molecule: ribosomal RNA, 252 nt
Filed under: uncultured bacterium
Lineage: Bacteria
Description: partial 16S ribosomal RNA
Rfam family: Bacterial small subunit ribosomal RNA
Source: RNAcentral